UCUACUCAUUGGGAAUUUUUCUGAUAACAUUACAU
RNAcentral lists this small RNA (35 nucleotides) under Anaerobutyricum hallii. RNAcentral's name for it is "CRISPR_Spacer". The record is from RNAcentral. Lineage: Bacteria; Bacillati; Bacillota; Clostridia; Lachnospirales; Lachnospiraceae.